GAUGAACGCUGGCGGCGUGCCUAAUACAUGCAAGUCGAGCGAACGGACGAGAAGCUUGCUUCUCUGAUGUUAGCGGCGGACGGGUGAGUAACACGUGGAUAACCUACCUAUACGACUGGGAUAACUUCGGGAAACCGGAGCUACUACCGGAUAAUAUUUUGAACCGCAUGGUUCAAAAGUGAAAGACGGUCUUUCUGUCACUUAUAGAUUGAUCCGCGCUGCAUUAGCUAGUUGGUAAGGUAACGGCUUACCAAGGCAACGAUGCAUAGCCGACCUGAGAGGGUGGUCGGCCACACUGGAACUGAGACACGGUCCAGACUCCUACGGGAGGCAGCAGUAGGGAAUCUUACGCAAUGGGCGAAAGCCGGACGGAGCAACGCCGCGGGAGUGAUGAAGGUCUUCGGAUCGUAAAACUCUGUUAUUAGGGAAGAACAUAUGUGUAAGUAACUGUGCACAUCUUGACGGUACCUAAUCAGAAAGCCACGGCUAACUACGUG
RNAcentral lists this ribosomal RNA (497 nucleotides) under uncultured bacterium. RNAcentral's name for it is "partial 16S ribosomal RNA". It matches the Rfam family "Bacterial small subunit ribosomal RNA", at positions 28 to 507 of the family's 1533-position model. The record is from RNAcentral.